CGGGUGAGGAAACGUACACAACCUCCCUCUUACCGGGGCACAACUCCGAGAAAUCGGGGCUAACUCCCUAUAAUAAUUCGAAGGGGCAUCUUUUGAAUUUAAAACUCCGGUGGUAAGAGAUGGGUGUGCGUCUGAUUAGCUAGUUGGUGAGGUAACGGCUCACCAAGGCAACGAUCAGUAACUGGUGUGAGAGCACGACCAGUCACACGGGCACUGAGAUACGGGCCCGACUCCUACGGGAGGCAGCAGUAAGGAAUAUUGGUCAAUGGACGCAAGUCUGAACCAGCCAUGCCGCGUGAGGGAUGAAGGUCCUCUGGACUGUAAACCUCUUUUAUCAGGGAAGAAAUGUCUCGUUUCUACGGGAUUUGACGGUACCUGAGGAAUAAGCACCGGCUAACUCCGUGCCAGCAGCCGCGGUAAUACGGAGGGUGCAAGCGUUAUCCGGAUUUACUGGGUUUAAAGGGUGCGUAGGCGGGUUAAUAAGUCAGGGGUGAAAUCUUCCCGCUUAACGGGAAAACUGCCUUUGAUACUAUUAAUCUUGAAUUCAGUUGAGGUGGGCGGAAUGUGUCGUGUAGCGGUGAAAUGCUUAGAUAUGACACAGAACACCAAUUGCGAAGGCAGCUCGCUAAACUGACAUUGACGCUGAGGCACGAAAGCGUGGGGAGCAAACAGGAUUAGAAACCCUGGUAGUCCACGCCCUAAACGAUGAUUACUCGAUCUGUGCGAUACACUGUACGGGUCUAUGCAAAAGCAUUAAGUAAUCCACCUGGGGAGUACGACCGCAAGGUUGAAACUCAAAGGAAUUGACGGGGGUCC
This 816-nucleotide ribosomal RNA is filed under the name uncultured Sphingobacteriales bacterium. Its description in RNAcentral is "bacterial SSU rRNA". It matches the Rfam family "Bacterial small subunit ribosomal RNA", at positions 103 to 922 of the family's 1533-position model. Lineage: Bacteria; Pseudomonadati; Bacteroidota; Sphingobacteriia; Sphingobacteriales. The record is from RNAcentral.